UUCAGUCGCUGCCUCCUGUGUUUUGCCCCCAUAAGAUUAAAGAUGAACAAAUAUAUUUAAAAUGUAACGUAGCUGCAGCCUGAUACACAGUCAGAUUCCACUUUAUCACCAUUAAUGAAAUGUAAGUCUGCUAAAUGAUGAAUUCAUGGACAACACUGAAUGAAACUUUAUUGUGUUAACUUAUUGACACUUUCCUGCUCUGACUCACAGAGUCAGUGUCAGUCAGUAUUUACAGAUAAAUGUGCUUCGUCCACACACGUAUACAUUCAUAUCUCUACGUCCUUGUGUUUUCUAAUAUUGAUUUAUUUAUGAUUGUGAACAGAAGAGAUGUGAUUUCUGAUGCAUGAAUGAGGUUCAGAGUAAGUCUAUAGUGAGAGUAAGUCUAUAGUGAGAGGGACAGAGUAAGUCUAUAGUGAGAGUAAGUCUAUAGUGAGAGGGACAGAGUAAGUCUAUAGUGAGAGGUUCAGAGUAAGUCUAUAGUGAGAGGGACAGAGUAAGUCUAUAGUGAGAGGUUCAGAAUAAGUCUAUAGUGAGAGGGACAGAGUAAGUCUAUAGUGAGAGGGACAGAGUAAGUCUAUAGUGAGAGGGACAGAGUAAGUCUAUAGUGAGAGGGACAGAGUAAGUCUAUAGUGAGAGGUUCAGAGUAAGUCUAUAGUGAGAGGGACAGAGUAAGUCUAUAGUGAGAGGGACAGAGUAAGUCUAUAGUGAGAGGGACAGAGUAAGUCUAUAGUGAGAGGGACAUUUAACAGUGUUGUCAGUGCUCUCUGGUGGACUAACCCUUUCUUAAUGACCUUAAACACAUCUUUGAUGUUUCUGUAGUGUGUGUUUCUUGUUGCUUACAGCCAACAUACGCUAAUAAUAAAAAUGAUAAUAAUGCUAAUAAUAACCAUUACCGCACUUUUCAAAAACAAGUUGAAAAAAGAGCUUUACAGACAUGAGAAAAUCAACACUCAUGGGAGAAUAUGCAAUACAUGGUAAAUAAUAAGAUUAAAAGAGAAAAUAGUUUAAUAAAAAAAAUAAUAGAAUUAAAAGCCAGUGUAACUAAUUAAAAGCUCAUCUAAUUUCCAGUGGAGGGCUUUUCCAGAGGACCCCUGACUACAAACACCCUGUGACUGUCUGUCUCCAGCCUGGAGCUGCAGACAGUCAGUAGCAACUGGUCAGCAGACCUCAGGCUAUGAGCCGGAGAGUAAGGAGUGAGAGGAUUGGCAAUGUAGAGUGGGUCAAGUCCUAUCUGUGCCUUCAAAACAAGUAAUAAAAGUGGCAAUCCUGAAGGCCACAGGUGACCAGUGCAAGAAGGCCCAAACAGGACAAUAUGGUCAUAUUGAUAAUGUAUCUGUAAUAAAUUCAUAAGUAAGUAAAAUUUGCUGAAAAAAUGCUGAUUUAUCAGCUGGGCUCGACUGCCUACCUGGGAACACAACUGCUCCCCGAUCCAGUCUUCACUGGUUAAGGAUGUGAAGCUUUAUUUCCCCUCCUGCAGAGGAUUGAAAACACACAUAAAACAAGCAAGUUGUCUCAGGCUCUCCGAGGAGGGAACUGAUAUCUGUCGACACAGACCUUUGAUUAUUGUCAGGGGAGGAUGCUAUUCAGUGUGGACGGGAGGGACAGACGCACUAAAGGGACACGUAGGGAGGGUUUUAGGAAAUGUGAAUUUUCAUUUUCCUUUCAAAAGCCACGUGUAGCUCCCCGACAGCGACUCGUUCAAGCUAAAAACCCAAAUAUCCCCUGUCGAUCAGCAGAAAGUCAAGAGAGAAAAAUCAAUGUUUCAUGAGUAAUUCACAUCUGACUGAUAGUGAGUUUGCCACAUUACAGUGCUCAGGGCUUAACUAGUUCAAACAGCCUCUACUGGUCUCCUCUAUCUGAAAAGGCACAUUCAUGGCAGUGUUGUCAGCUCUGAUAUCAGACAGCCUUUGGGUGGAAUUCUGUUUGGAAACUAAAUAAAUAAAUGAUCCAUCAAAAUUGCUCUUUGACACUAAGGCCUGAGCCUCAGUGACACAGCAAAUAUUACAUUUGUCUUGCACUAUCCACAUCUUUUUAGGGAUUGAAUCAGAUUGCAUAAAGUUACAUGGGUCUUACACGCACUGACAUCUGCACAUUUGGGCUGAUACUAUUCAGAUAGUUUGUUCAGUGUGUGCAACACUCUUUGCUGGCUUCCAGUCAGUGUGGUGAAAAUAACAGGCCAACGACGGUUCAUUUAUGCUGAAAAUUGUGUAUUAAAUACCUUGAAAAUAGCAUAAAAUAUCAUUUGUGCCAGUUAGCCAUGUUUCCAUCUAAUUGUGAAGUGAAUUUUAAGUGAACAUCAGCUGGUUUGGAGCAAUAAACUAGGCUAUGCAAAGUGUAGUUUCGUCAGAAGUUGGUGGUAUAGGCUGUUAUGCAUAGCUGCAAUAAACAGAGUAGAAGAAGUGAAGCACCGGAAACAAAACCAGUCGCUUUCUCUACGAGAGGAAAAUGGAGAGGUCUUCAGGAAUUUGUUUCAAUUGUGCAAGUUGUAAUUGUUCUUUCAUGUUAGCUAGUAUUGAUGUAGCACACUUAUCUCUCGUCUAAUCAGAGAGGAGCCCUGAGUUCUUAAAAUCAACUAACUUAAUGUGCAAUAAAUAGAAAAUACUUAAAUGUUUCUCUUUUGUUUAUAUAUACUUUUGUAUUUGUCUUGGGUCCCUUUAUACACUGUUAAUGGAUUGUAAUUAUUAUUAGGCUCUGUUUUACUUAACCCUUGUAUUAAAUCUAUGCAAGGUAAUCUACUUGAUGAAUUAGACUACUACAAUGAAAUAGGUGUAUUACUCCUUUAAACAAAGCUGUCACUGAUAUCCACUGAUAAAUACCUCUAGUGAAAGAAAUAACCAAACAUCACACUGGAAUUAGUUUUAGAAAUAAUGAACUUCUCUUUUUUUACUUUUGCCAAUUUCCCAUAUAAGCAACUAAAUAAGAGUCUCUUCCAAUAACUGGAGUUAUGGCAAUAACUCUUCAAAUGUAAACAAUAUGCUCAAAGACUCACAUUCACUAAGCGCGCGCGCACACACACACACACCGGCAGGUAUUUAAAUAAAAGAAAAUAAACCCCCGUUGCAGGCCUGAUUCGAUGCAUGUGAACAGAGAGGCCCAAAACUAUUUGGCCGCUUAACUCAAAACAGCAACAAAAUAAAAUGCGGUACCUUGGUCAUGACGUCUGACUCCAAUCAGCAGUUUCUACCAGCCUCGGUCUCCGGGAGGGAACAGGAUACAGUUUACACCAGCCUCGGUCUCCGGGAGGGAACAGGAUACAGUUUACACCAGCCUCGGUCUCCGGGAGGGAACAGGAUGCAGUUUAUACCAGCCUCGGUCUCCGGGAGGGAACAGGAUACAGUUUAUACCAGCCUCGGUCUCCGGGAAGGAACAGGAUACACGCUGAAGUCCAGAGAUGGCGGGUCCUGCCCAUGUAGUGAAAAGUCUCUCUGAAAAUUGACUUAGUAGCUCAUAGCACUGUCCGAUAAUCCUCAGGGUUUCCACG
Thunnus maccoyii (southern bluefin tuna) is the source of this 3481-nucleotide long non-coding RNA. RefSeq lists it as uncharacterized. NCBI's taxonomy places the organism in Eukaryota, Metazoa, Chordata, Actinopteri, Scombriformes, Scombridae. The record is from RefSeq and is a predicted model, not a curated record. The transcript is spliced from 2 exons.